UACGUAGGGUGCGAGCGUUGUCCGAAAUUACUGGGCGUAAAGAGCUCGUAGGUGGUUUGUCGCGUUGUUCGUGAAAACUCACAACUCAAUUGUGGGCGUGCGGGCGAUACGGGCAGACUGGAGUACUGCAGGGGAGACUGGAAUUCCUGGUGUAGCGGUGGAAUGCGCAGAUAUCAGGAGGAACACCGGUGGCGAAGGCGGGUCUCUGGGCAGUAACUGACGCUGAGGAGCGAAAGCGUGGGGAGCGAACAGG
Molecule: ribosomal RNA, 253 nt
Filed under: uncultured bacterium
Lineage: Bacteria
Description: partial 16S ribosomal RNA
Rfam family: Bacterial small subunit ribosomal RNA
Source: RNAcentral